This 546-nucleotide small RNA is filed under the name Vigna angularis var. angularis. RNAcentral describes it as "Non-protein coding transcript". The record is from RNAcentral. Lineage: Eukaryota; Viridiplantae; Streptophyta; Magnoliopsida; Fabales; Fabaceae.
UGGAUGUGUCACCAUCAUCAUCACUGGAUGACAGUCCCUCAGAAAGUGAGGGGAUUUCUUGUGAUCCUCAUGAAGCUCCUUUUGAAUCUCCAACCAUUAUCCUUCAGGUGAAUUAUCAUUAUCCUUUUGAAGCUCCUUUUGGCAUUUUCAUUAUCCUUUAUUAUAUUCAGUUCAUAUUCUUCCAGUGAUGACUUAGUUAGGGUUGAUGAUAGGCCGUGUGAUUUUUGAAGGAAACCCAGAAAGUUAUGGUGAGGGAGAAUACCUUCUCUAGUCAGGGUCAAAAGGAAGGGCUGGAGCCAACAUCUACCUUUGUUCAUUUGAAUGUGAUACAUGCUGAUUUAUAUUUGAUCUGUUGAUUUGAAUCUUUACCUUUGUUGAUGGAAAGAAGAUAAAUAAGUCAAAAAAAGGAAGACUUGGAUCUACUGAAACCCAUAGUCCUGAACUACAUAGGGGAAAGCACAAAAAAGGUCAAGACACAAAUCAAGAAGAGCUGAUGAAUUGGAUGUCAACAAAUGGAAAGGGAUAUUGAACGUCCUUAGCAAGGGA